Molecule: ribosomal RNA, 465 nt
Filed under: uncultured bacterium
Lineage: Bacteria
Description: partial 16S ribosomal RNA
Rfam family: Bacterial small subunit ribosomal RNA
Source: RNAcentral
GACGAACGCUGGCGGCGUGCUUAACACAUGCAAGUCGAACGGAAAGGCCCUGCUUGCAGGGUACUCGAGUGGCGAACGGGUGAGUAACACGUGGGUGAUCUGCCCUGCACUUCGGGAUAAGCCUGGGAAACUGGGUCUAAUACCGGAUAGGAGCCAUUUUUAGGGUGAUGGUUGGAAAGUUUUUUCGGUGUAGGAUGAGCUCGCGGCCUAUCAGCUUGUUGGUGGGGUAAUGGCCUACCAAGGCGGCGACGGGUAGCCGGCCUGCGAGGGUGGACGGCCAAAUUGGGGCUGGGAUACGGCCCAGACUCCUACGGGGGGCAGCAGUGGGGAAUAUUGCACAAUGGGCGCAAGCCUGAUGCAGCGACGCCGCGGGGGGGAUGACGGCCUUCGGGGUGUAAACUCCUUUCGCUAGGGACGAAGCUGUUUGUGACGGUACCUAGAGAAGAAGCACCGGCUAACUACGUG